GAUGAACGCUGGCGGCGUGCCUAAUACAUGCAAGUCGAGCGAACGGACGAGAAGCUUGCUUCUCUGAUGUUAGCGGCGGACGGGUGAGUAACACGUGGAUAACCUACCUAUAAGACUGGGAUAACUUCGGGAAACCGGAGCUAAUACCGGAUAAUAUUUUGAACCGCAUGGUUCAAAAGUGAAAGACGGUCUUGCUGUCACUUAUAGAUGGAUCCGCGCUGCAUUAGCUAGUUGGUAAGGUAACGGCUUACCAAGGCAACGAUGCAUAGCCGACCUGAGAGGGUGAUCGGCCACACUGGAACUGAGACACGGUCCAGACUCCUACGGGAGGCAGCAGUAGGGAAUCUUCCGCAAUGGGCGAAAGCCUGACGGAGCAACGCCGCGUGAGUGAUGAAGGUCUUCGGAUCGUAAAACUCUGUUAUUAGGGAAGAACAUAUGUGUAAGUAACUGUGCACAUCUUGACGGUACCUAAUCAGAAAGCCACGGCUAACUACGUGCCAGCAGCCGCGGUAAUACGUAGGUGGCAAGCGUUAUCCGGAAUUAUUGGGCGUAAAGCGCGCGUAGGCGGUUUUUUAAGUCUGAUGUGAAAGCCCACGGCUCAACCGUGGAGGGUCAUUGGAAACUGGAAAACUUGAGUGCAGAAGAGGAAAGUGGAAUUCCAUGUGUAGCGGUGAAAUGCGCAGAGAUAUGGAGGAACACCAGUGGCGAAGGCGACUUUCUGGUCUGUAACUGACGCUGAUGUGCGAAAGCGUGGGGAUCAAACAGGAUUAGAUACCCUGGUAGUCCACGCCGUAAACGAUGAGUGCUAAGUGUUAGGGGGUUUCCGCCCCUUAGUGCUGCAGCUAACGCAUUAAGCACUCCGCCUGGGGAGUACGACCGCAAGGUUGAAACUCAAAGGAAUUGACGGGGACCCGCACAAGCGGUGGAGCAUGUGGUUUAAUUCGAAGCAACGCGAAGAACCUUACCAAAUCUUGACAUCCUUUGACAACUCUAGAGAUGGAGCCUUCCCCUUCGGGGGACAAAGUGACAGGUGGUGCAUGGUUGUCGUCAGCUCGUGUCGUGAGAUGUUGGGUUAAGUCCCGCAACGAGCGCAACCCUUAAGCUUAGUUGCCAUCAUUAAGUUGGGCACUCUAAGUUGACUGCCGGUGACAAACCGGAGGAAGGUGGGGAUGACGUCAAAUCAUCAUGCCCCUUAUGAUUUGGGCUACACACGUGCUACAAUGGACAAUACAAAGGGCAGCGAAACCGCGAGGUCAAGCAAAUCCCAUAAAGUUGUUCUCAGUUCGGAUUGUAGUCUGCAACUCGACUACAUGAAGCUGGAAUCGCUAGUAAUCGUAGAUCAGCAUGCUACGGUGAAUACGUCCCCGGGUCU
Molecule: ribosomal RNA, 1372 nt
Filed under: uncultured bacterium
Lineage: Bacteria
Description: bacterial SSU rRNA
Rfam family: Bacterial small subunit ribosomal RNA
Source: RNAcentral